AGUCGACCCCUAAGGCGAGGCCGAAAGGCGUAGUCGAUGGGAAACAGGUUAAUAUUCCUGUACUUGGUGUUACUGCGAAGGGGGGACGGAGAAGGCUAUGUUGGCCGGGCGACGGUUGUCCCGGUUUAAGCGUGUAGGCUGGUUUUCCAGGCAAAUCCGGAAAAUCAAGGCUGAGGCGUGAUGACGAGGCACUACGGUGCUGAAGCAACAAAUGCCCUGCUUCCAGGAAAAGCCUCUAAGCAUCAGGUAACAUCAAAUCGUACCCCAAACCGACACAGGUGGUCAGGUAGAGAAUACCAAGGCGCUUGAGAGAACUCGGGUGAAGGAACUAGGCAAAAUGGUGCCGUAACUUCGGGAGAAGGCACGCUGAUAUGUAGGUGAAGUCCCUCGCGGAUGGAGCUGAAAUCAGUCGAAGAUACCAGCUGGCUGCAACUGUUUAUUAAAAACACAGCACUGUGCAAACACGAAAGUGGACGUAUACGGUGUGACGCCUGCCCGGUGCCGGAAGGUUAAUUGAUGGGGUCAGCGCAAGCGAAGCUCUUGAUCGAAGCCCCGGUAAACGGCGGCCGUAACUAUAACGGUCCUAAGGUAGCGAAAUUCCUUGUCGGGUAAGUUCCGACCUGCACGAAUGGCGUAAUGAUGGCCAGGCUGUCUCCACCCGAGACUCAGUGAAAUUGAACUCGCUGUGAAGAUGCAGUGUACCCGCGGCAAGACGGAAAGACCCCGUGAACCUUUACUAUAGCUUGACACUGAACAUUGAGCCUUGAUGUGUAGGAUAGGUGGGAGGCUUAGAAGUGUGGACGCCAGUCUGCAUGGAGCCGACCUUGAAAUACCACCCUUUAAUGUUUGAUGUUCUAACGUUGACCCGUAAUCCGGGUUGCGGACAGUGUCUGGUGGGUAGUUUGACUGGGGCGGUCUCCUCCUAAAGAGUAACGGAGGAGCACGAAGGUUGGCUAAUCCUGGUCGGACAUCAGGAGGUUAGUGCAAUGGCAUAAGCCAGCUUGACUGCGAGCGUGACGGCGCGAGCAGGUGCGAAAGCAGGUCAUAGUGAUCCGGUGGUUCUGAAUGGAAGGGCCAUCGCUCAACGGAUAAAAGGUACUCCGGGGAUAACAGGCUGAUACCGCCCAAGAGUUCAUAUCGACGGCGGUGUUUGGCACCUCGAUGUCGGCUCAUCACAUCCUGGGGCUGAAGUAGGUCCCAAGGGUAUGGCUGUUCGCCAUUUAAAGUGGUACGCGAGCUGGGUUUAGAACGUCGUGAGACAGUUCGGUCCCUAUCUGCCGUGGGCGCUGGAGAACUGAGGGGGGCUGCUCCUAGUACGAGAGGACCGGAGUGGACGCAUCACUGGUGUUCGGGUUGUCAUGCCAAUGGCACUGCCCGGUAGCUAAAUGCGGAAGAGAUAAGUGCUGAAAGCAUCUAAGCACGAAACUUGCC
RNAcentral lists this ribosomal RNA (1431 nucleotides) under Escherichia coli. RNAcentral's name for it is "partial 23S ribosomal RNA". It matches the Rfam family "Bacterial large subunit ribosomal RNA", at positions 1382 to 2798 of the family's 2925-position model. The record is from RNAcentral. Lineage: Bacteria; Pseudomonadati; Pseudomonadota; Gammaproteobacteria; Enterobacterales; Enterobacteriaceae.